GGAUAUAGCUCAGUUGGUAGAGUGCUUGCCUCACUUGUACAAGGCCCUGGGUUCAAUUCCCAGAACCA
Molecule: transfer RNA, 68 nt
Filed under: Marmota monax (woodchuck)
Lineage: Eukaryota; Metazoa; Chordata; Mammalia; Rodentia; Sciuridae
Description: tRNA.Val
Source: RNAcentral